This 843-nucleotide ribosomal RNA is filed under the name Fusicolla cassiae-fistulae. RNAcentral describes it as "Fusicolla sp. RHP-2020a partial large subunit ribosomal RNA". It matches the Rfam family "Eukaryotic large subunit ribosomal RNA", at positions 64 to 940 of the family's 3401-position model. Lineage: Eukaryota; Fungi; Ascomycota; Sordariomycetes; Hypocreales; Nectriaceae. The record is from RNAcentral.
ACCAACAGGGAUUGCCCUAGUAACGGCGAGUGAAGCGGCAACAGCUCAAAUUUGAAAUCUGGCCCUUGUGGUCCGAGUUGUAAUUUGUAGAGGAUGCUUUUGGUGCGGUACCUUCCGAGUUCCCUGGAACGGGACGCCAUAGAGGGUGAGAGCCCCGUCUGGUUGGAUACCAAUCCUCUGUAAAGCUCCUUCGACGAGUCGAGUAGUUUGGGAAUGCUGCUCAAAAUGGGAGGUAUAUGUCUUCUAAAGCUAAAUAUUGGCCAGAGACCGAUAGCGCACAAGUAGAGUGAUCGAAAGAUGAAAAGCACUUUGAAAAGAGGGUUAAAUAGUACGUGAAAUUGUUGAAAGGGAAGCGUUUGUGACCAGACUUGGGCUUGGUUAAUCAUCCAGCGUUCUCGCUGGUGCACUUUGCCAGCCCAGGCCAGCAUCAGUUUGCUGCGGGGGAUAAAAGUUUCGGGAAUGUGGCUCCUCGGAGUGUUAUAGCCCGUUGCACAAUACCCUGUGGUGGACUGAGGUUCGCGCAUCUGCAAGGAUGCUGGCGUAAUGGUCAUCAACGACCCGUCUUGAAACACGGACCAAGGAGUCGUCUUCGUAUGCGAGUGUUCGGGUGUCAAACCCCUACGCGUAAUGAAAGUGAACGGAGGUGGGAGCCUCGGCGCACCAUCGACCGAUCCUGAUGUUUUCGGAUGGAUUUGAGUAAGAGCAUACGGGGCCGGACCCGAAAGAAGGUGAACUAUGCCUGUAUAGGGUGAAGCCAGAGGAAACUCUGGUGGAGGCUCGCAGCGGUUCUGACGUGCAAAUCGAUCGUCAAAUAUGGGCAUGGGGGCGAAAGACUAAUCGAAC